Molecule: non-coding RNA, 164 nt
Organism: Octopus bimaculoides (California two-spot octopus)
Lineage: Eukaryota; Metazoa; Mollusca; Cephalopoda; Octopoda; Octopodidae
Source: Rfam
AUAAUUACCUGACACAAAGGUUAACUAUGAUCAUCUGGGUGGUUCUCCCAAAGUGAGGCCCUUCCAUUGCACUCCGGUUGGGUUGAUCUUUGCGAUCGCCCCAAAUGUGGGCGACUCGGGAGUAUCAUUUCUAAGUAAGUCAAACAUCUUUAAAAGAUCUCUGC